Molecule: ribosomal RNA, 210 nt
Filed under: uncultured Syntrophus sp.
Lineage: Bacteria; Pseudomonadati; Thermodesulfobacteriota; Syntrophia; Syntrophales; Syntrophaceae
Description: partial 16S ribosomal RNA
Rfam family: Bacterial small subunit ribosomal RNA
Source: RNAcentral
CGUGUAGGCGGCUGAGCAAGUCAGAUGUAGAAACUCCCUGGGCUUAACCCCAGGAAGUGCAUUUGAAACUGCUUAGCUUGAGUAAGGAAGAGGGAAGUGGAAUUCCUGGUGUAGAGGUGAAAUUCGUAGAUAUCAGGAGGAACACCGGUGGCGAAGGCGACUUCCUGGUCCUAUACUGACGCUGAGACGCGAGAGCGUGGGGAGCAAACA